GGGAACUUCAAGUGAGAGGUGUGUCUUAUUGUGAGAGAUGAGAGGAUAAAAUCCUGACCAUCUGAUCAAAAUUAAUGGUUGUGAUUAAAACAUGUCAAAUGCACCUUCCCCUAUUCUGCUUCCUCCCAAUUCCCAGUUCAAUCACCUUCGUCUCGCAUCACUUAUUCAUAGCUCACAACAGAGAUUAAAGAUUUCUUGAUCCCCUCCACCAACGCUUCUCCCAAUUCCACCACCAAUUUGUCAAGAUUCAAGAGCAGUUUGAUGAUUUAUCCAAUAUUAUUCACCAUCACAAAGGGAUUCAACAACCCUUUUC
This 313-nucleotide long non-coding RNA is filed under the name Trifolium pratense (red clover). Its description in RNAcentral is "long non-coding RNA (TPRA_LNC006189)". The record is from RNAcentral. Lineage: Eukaryota; Viridiplantae; Streptophyta; Magnoliopsida; Fabales; Fabaceae.